This is a long non-coding RNA of Olea europaea var. sylvestris, 2078 nucleotides long. RefSeq lists it as uncharacterized. NCBI's taxonomy places the organism in Eukaryota, Viridiplantae, Streptophyta, Magnoliopsida, Lamiales, Oleaceae. The record is from RefSeq and is a predicted model, not a curated record. The transcript is spliced from 2 exons.
AAGAUUAUACAAAAAGGAUAGCACUUUGAGACUAAUCUCAUAGAUGCAAUCGCAGUUUACAAACAUAAUUUACAUAUCUUAGCUGAAAAUAUUUUGACCUCAUACAAAAGAUUAUGCACUAGCCACUACAUCGAUUAAUAGCUACUAAUCAGGUUGACCACUUCCCUUCUCAAUUCACUUCGUUAAAAUCCACAAUGAAUCGUAAGAUUCUACAACUUUAAGAUCCUAUAAAGAUCGCCAAAUCCGAAUGAGGAGUCUAAAACCCAGCGUUAGAAAUACUUACAACUAUCAGUACUCAUUUACACAGAGUUGGUUUCAUGGAUGUGCGAUUAAGCUAAAAUUAAUGAAUAAGAUAAAAAAAAAAAAUGAGACUGUUGACAAGUCAAUUUGAUAUUAAUUAAUGAUAAUUAAGGGAAAGACGCUGACUAGGUGGUGAAGGCAUGUUCGAGAUGAUAAAGUAGAUCGGAUUUACUGGUUCAAUUAAAAAAAAUUGGAAUUUAGUCGCAAAAAAUCAAAAAAUUAAACCCAGUGAAAAUCACUUUUAGAACAGAUUAGUUCAGGCUCAAAAUCUGCCGAUUAAAUUCAAAAGCAGCAAAUCGCAUCCUAAUCUAGUCAAUUCAUCCCAAAAUUCCAUUUUCCCAUCCACAACAAAAGUCGAGAAGCAAGCGCGGUCUAAGUUCCUAAACCGUGAAGCAAGUUGUCAAAUUCUUGUCUAAACACUCAAUUAAAACAACCCCAGCACAUAUUUCCCCAAAUCUUCAAGUCUCUUAUAAUUUAAGCUGGACACAAAUUGGCAAAAGUACACAAAAAUUGAGAUGUUUGGGUUAUUUUACAUACAUGAACAAUACUGGUAGUGUGGUCGAAAAUGUUGAUGAGUGAUGGUGGAAGUGUUGCACUCUGACUGAGGGACGACCAGGCUUGGAGAGGAGGGGAGAAAGCACUUCGACUCGAAAAUGUUGAGGAGUGAUGGUGGAAGUGCUACACUCUGACCGAGGGACGGACGGGCAUGGAGAGGAGGGGAGAAAACCCUUUUUGAGCUGUCGAAAUAGGUGUGGUUUCUAGUAUUUCAAAGAAGGAUUUUGAUAACGGUCCCGCUACAUGUACAGCACUGUACACAGCUUUGUGUACAGUGCUGACCUGGAAAAUGAGAAAAAAAAUGAAAACAUUGUUUUUAAAUACUCGGCUGAAUAAUGCCUCAAUUAUUCUCAUUUUCUUCCUUCAUUCAUUUCAUCCCCAAAUCAAUUUGUCUCUCCUCUCUCCUCUGUCAUUUACAACUUGUUCCCCAAAUUGAAUCUCUCUCCUACCCACGACGAGUAACACACAACCGACCAGAAAUCCGGAUGACAUCCAUUGACGAAGAAGAAGGUAGAGCCAACUGUAAAUCGAGGCGACAACCUGAAAAAUUGCCAGCUCCGGUCGCGGGCAAAAUGAUUGCUAAAGAUAGUAAUAUGGUUACAUGUUGGUGUGGUUGUUUCAUGUGGUUGAAUUAGAGAAAUUCGACGGCAGGCAAGAAUAGGGGAAUAUGUCAUUGUUGUCGACAGAGGGGACAUACGUUGCUAGAAUGCCCGACAAAGAGAAGAUGCCCAAAUUGUGGUGACGGGUUCGUUAAGAGGAUGGAGGUCGAAAAGAAUAAUGACCAUAAAGGAUUGUUGUACCUGUGACUGUAAGUACUUCAAGUGGUGCAAUAAAUUCCCCAAGGAAAAGUGUCUGUUGCAUGAUGAUGGUGAAUCAAGUUGCAUCACAACUCCAAGUGAAGAAGCGGAUACUUUGUCGCAUAUGUUGAAAACACUCGCUAUGCUAAGCGAGGAGAAAGACCUAGAGAUUUUACUCCAAAUAAACAUGCGCAAAGGAAAACAAGUUUCAGAAAAUGAAAUGUGAAAGUCGUUGUGUUGGGAUGGUGAUCCGACGGUUUGUAUGUGGAGAUCGUUUAGGACUAAAAAGUGAAAGUGUCUUAACUGUUUGUAGUGAUGCAUGUAGAAAUGGUACGCAACUAUGUUAUUGUGGUCCUUUUUUUUACUAGUCGUUCGCCUUGAAUUAUCCUGAAGUUUUUGCGGUUUGUACUAUUAAACUUUCGUUGA